GGGGUCGUUACGGAUUCGACAGGCACUAUGAGAUACAUUCUGCGACUCAUCGGCAGAUGUAAAAAUGCCAGUUAAAUAUAACUGCAAAAAAUACAAAUUCUUACGCUGUAGCUGCCUAAAAACCAGCUCGCGUGAUCUCUACAGGAUUGCUUGUGUUUUGCUAGAGGUUUCAUUGAUUAGCAAGCUACGUUUGAUUAUUGCCUAGCUAGUCAAAAAGAGAUUUAUAGGCUCGCUUAAUCUAGGUUUGAGUUAUGUAUCGAGCUUAAGUUAAAUCAAAGACAUAACCUAUGGUUGUAGACGAAUGUAUUGGCAGGUGUUUGGACGUGGGUUCGACUCCCACCGGCUCCAU
RNAcentral lists this transfer-messenger RNA (349 nucleotides) under Streptococcus infantarius. It matches the Rfam family "transfer-messenger RNA". Rfam says of the family: Bacterial tmRNA, also known as 10Sa RNA or SsrA, is named for its dual tRNA and mRNA-like properties. Lineage: Bacteria; Bacillati; Bacillota; Bacilli; Lactobacillales; Streptococcaceae. The record is from RNAcentral.